UUUUCAGGUUUUUUUGCUAUGAUGGCGUCUGUGCGGAGGAAACGGCGUUUCUUUCCGAUGAGGGGGAUAGCGAUGCCAACUAUGCCGGCAAGGAGAAUAGACGCGAUGGCGAUGAAUUUGAGGACGAGUGCGGCCGAGUCGUCUCGGCAAGCUUCAAGUUCGGAGGAUUGGCACUUCGUAUUAGACAUGAAUUCAGAAAUUCCCUGAAAUAAAGAUUCUGAGAAAGCUCGAGUCUUCAAUCUGAAACGAUCGAGGCAAAGCAACUCCCACAGAUCCU
Molecule: unclassified non-coding RNA, 277 nt
Filed under: Hevea brasiliensis (rubber tree)
Lineage: Eukaryota; Viridiplantae; Streptophyta; Magnoliopsida; Malpighiales; Euphorbiaceae
Source: RNAcentral